Molecule: ribosomal RNA, 434 nt
Filed under: uncultured bacterium
Lineage: Bacteria
Description: partial 16S rRNA
Source: RNAcentral
GCACGAAGUUAGCCGGAGCUUCUUCUGCGGGUACCGUCAUUAUCGUCCCCGCCGAAAGAGUUUUACAACCCUAGGGCCUUCAUCACUCACGCGGCAUGGCUGGAUCAGGGUUUCCCCCAUUGUCCAAGAUUCCCCACUGCUGCCUCCCGUAGGAGUCUGGGCCGUGUCUCAGUCCCAGUGUGGCUGGUCGUUCUCUCAAACCAGCUAUGGAUCGUCGCCUUGGUAGGCUUUUACCCCACCAACUAGCUAAUCCAACGCGGGCCGCUCCUUCGGCGAUAAAUCUUUCCCCGUUAGGGCUCAUCCGGUAUUAGCUCAAGUUUCCCUGAGUUAUUCCGAACCAAAGGGCACGUUCCCACGUGUUACUCACCCGUGCGCCGCUCUGUAUUGCUACAGCGCUCGACUUGCAUGUGUUAGGCCUGCCGCCAGCGUUCGUU